UGAUGCAGCCAUGCCGCGUGAGUGAUGAAGGCCUUAGGGUUGUAAAGCUCUUUCGCCGGGGAUGAUAAUGACUGUACCCGGUAAAGAAAGCCCGGCUAACUCCGUGCCAGCAGCCGCGGUAAUACGGAGGGGGUUAGCGUUGUUCGGAAUUACUGGGCGUAAAGCGCACGUAGGCGGAUUGAUAAGUUAAUUGUGAAAUCCCGGGGCUCAACCUUGGAACUGCCUUAAAGACUCCUUAGUCUAGAGUUCGAGAGAGGUGAGUGGAAUUCCGAGUGUAGAGGUGAAAUUCGUAUAUAUUCGGAGGAACACCAGUGGCGAAGGCGGCUUUCUGGAUCAUUACUGACGCUGAGAUGCGAAAGUGUGGGUAGCAAACAGGAUUAGAUACCCUGGUAGUCCACACCGUAAACGAUGAUUGCUAGACGUGGGGAAUUAUUUCUCUGUAUGACACCUCUAACGUAUUAUACUUUCCCCCGGGAGAAUAACGUCGCGGUAUUAACUCUCAGGAGAUUUGAGG
This 514-nucleotide ribosomal RNA is filed under the name uncultured marine bacterium. Its description in RNAcentral is "bacterial SSU rRNA". It matches the Rfam family "Bacterial small subunit ribosomal RNA", at positions 384 to 915 of the family's 1533-position model. The record is from RNAcentral.